UAUUGUUGUCGGAUUUAGGGUCUGAAAAACUCGAACAUUGUUGUGUUUCCAUCACCUUCAUCUCUUGAAUAUGUCUGUGAGAAUGGAGUCAAAUAUUAACACAAUAUUC
RNAcentral lists this small nucleolar RNA (109 nucleotides) under Genlisea aurea. RNAcentral describes it as "Small nucleolar RNA snoR97". It matches the Rfam family "Small nucleolar RNA snoR97". Lineage: Eukaryota; Viridiplantae; Streptophyta; Magnoliopsida; Lamiales; Lentibulariaceae. The record is from Rfam by way of RNAcentral.